GUCGUCUCCAGUCUCUCCGCCAGUCAAAGAAACCCAGGCCGUCGGACGCCAUCCCUAGCCACCGCGCCGCUAUGUCCGCCGCCACCGCCACGCUCCGGCCAACCGAGCCGUUCCCUCUCCCGAGCGGUCUAUCCCUUGCGCGGCGCCUGAAGCUGCUCCUCUCCUUCUCCCGCGCCGACCUCUCCGUGAGCCCCGUCGACGAGUGGCAGCUCAAGUCCGCGCUCCUCGCCUUCCUCCGCAACCCGCCGCUCUCGCUCUCCCUCCUCCAAGACUCCGACCUGUCCGUCAGCCGCCUCCCGGACCUGCAGAAGCGCCGUCGGGACGAUCCCGUCGCCUCCGGCAUCCUGUACGUCCGCGAUCUCUCCUUCCUCCGCCCAGGCAACCGCACAGGAGACAACGAAGCCGAGAAGAUGACCCCAGAGCAGGAGGAGAAGAAGUACUCACAGUGGCGGAGCUCCCUGGUCGAGAAGCUAGAUGGCAUCGACCUCAACCUUAAGGGGGUUAUGUACCGGAUGAGUGUCGAGAUCCCCGCCUCAGAUGACUUCACGGCGAUGAAGAAGUCAUGGGAGGAUUUUUACGCCUCCGAGCUCUUUAGUACUAGGAAUCCGGUGAGGAAGAUAGCAAAAAGACCAGACACAAUUCUUGUGAGAGGUGUGCCGUCCAGGUGGUUUGCGGAGACGAGGAUAUCGUCGAAGGCGUCCACAUUGGUCACCCACACUAUCUUCUCAGCUCUUGGUAAAAUAAGGACCUUAAAUAUUUCUAAUGACGAUGAAUUAGAAGAAAAAAAAGAUGAGACUAAUAAGGGUCUCAUAUCUGGACUCAAUUGUAAGGUGUGGGUGCAAUUUGAGAGUUAUGAUGACUUCCACAAUGCAAUGAAGGCAUUAUGUGGGCGGUCAUUAGAGAAGGAUUGAUGGCGCAAAGGAUAUGAUGAGUUGUGAAAUUACAUGUCAUAAGGAGGAGAAUUGGUUGUAUUCUGUGGUCUGUAUCAUUGUGAUGUUCACUAUUCGUUUUUUGUCUCCUUUUACUUCUCGUCAUUAGUCUAACAGUAAAAUCAUUCCGUCCGAGUCGCUGAUUUGUACUCCCUCCGUCCCACAGUAUAAGCUAUUACAGCUAUUGUGGUGGCACCUAGUUGAUACCGAAAGUUCGAGCUUAACAAAAGUUAGUGUUUGCUUCAGUAAGAGUUUCGCCUUUAGCACCUCUACAUCUGCUCAUUUGAUCAAUCACAAAACCCACUGCAGUUACGCUCC
Molecule: ribosomal RNA, 1247 nt
Filed under: Triticum aestivum (bread wheat)
Lineage: Eukaryota; Viridiplantae; Streptophyta; Magnoliopsida; Poales; Poaceae
Description: partial small subunit ribosomal RNA
Source: RNAcentral